Mustela erminea (ermine) is the source of this 1250-nucleotide long non-coding RNA. RefSeq lists it as uncharacterized. NCBI's taxonomy places the organism in Eukaryota, Metazoa, Chordata, Mammalia, Carnivora, Mustelidae. The transcript is spliced from 4 exons. The record is from RefSeq and is a predicted model, not a curated record.
CUCUCUUGGUGGCUCUAGGACUUCACUGAAGUUAUUAAAUAUCACUGGCCACCACCACGUCCUGUCUGUCCAGUUCCGGUUCUCUGGUUUCCACACUCUCAUAAUUCUUCAGCUUCACUGGGACCUCCAGGACUGGAUGCCCACGACUUUCCACUAAUUCCCCUUCCCCUCCUGUCUCCGCUUUCCACCUUUCCUGGCAUAGAUUCCAUGGCCCAUCAUUUUGGAUCUUUUAAAACAAGUUCAGCCCUCUCGCCCCUCUACUAAUCUAGGAAACUCCCAACCCUCAGUAAUCCCAGCUCUGACUUCCGGGCUCGUACUCAGGCAGCUGAGGAGAAAGACCACACAAAGACCACACAACACUGACUGCCUUCAGCGUACCCUCCCCCGCCCUGGCUACCAACAGAUAUGGUGAGGAAGGACAGCUCCUGACAUAAUCGGACAGACCGGUCUCUUACCAUCCCUUUAAUACUUAUUUAGUGGAGGGUCAUCUCCUUCCCUGGAAGACAGUCCAGCAGACCUGUAACUUUUCUUCUCUUAGCAAACAGUCCUACACUCACUUUUGGUCCCAAACCCAUUCUAGAGGCAGUGACCAGAACGUCUGGAUGAGACUUAACAUUGGGGCUUCCCACCUGGAGCAUUUGGGCACAUUCAGGUACGAGAUCUAACCAGUGCGGCUGGAUGCCCUGACCAGCACCAUCCGACAGACUACCUCCAGCCCUCCAAAUGUCCACGGCCACUGCCGCGCUCCCAAGCAUCAUCCUCAGCCUCUUUGCUCCCGGCUCAGGAACGCAAUUCUCAGCUGUCCUGCUGGGCCCCCGGAAGCCCCCUGCACGAGGCUGAGGUCCCCAUCGGGUGAUGUGGGCCCUCCCUCUGGGACUCACACGCUUUGCAGCUCAUUUCACAUCGACUGGAUCUUGUGGCCAAUUCCAACAACUUGGUUCACUUUGAAGAGGACUCAGUACCUGCACGGGGAUUCUGCAGCUCACUGAGGAGCGCGCUUCGGGCUUUCCGAGACAACUCUAAGUCAGGGCAGUGGUGUCUGAAGAAUGGGUUCACAAUGGUCAUACUUCUCGGGGAGGUAACGAGGACUGAACGAGCCGAUGCCCGCCCAGUGCUGAGACGAGCACCUGAAGUCCGGCAAACCCUAAGUACACAUCCGCUGUUACUACUCUCUCCUCCCUCCACCAGCCAGCAGCAGCUCAGCUCCGUCUCGGAGUGGCUUCCCUCAUUUUACUGAAAGAAUAAAGCAA